RNAcentral lists this ribosomal RNA (445 nucleotides) under uncultured bacterium. RNAcentral's name for it is "bacterial SSU rRNA". It matches the Rfam family "Bacterial small subunit ribosomal RNA", at positions 330 to 792 of the family's 1533-position model. The record is from RNAcentral.
GCCAGACUCCUACGGGAGGCAGCAGUGGGGGAUAUUGCACAAUGGGGGGAACCCUGAUGCAGCGACGCCGCAUGGGCGAGGGAGCGCCUCGGCGCGUAAAGCCCUUUCGGCGGGGGAGAACGAUGACGGUACCCGACGAAGAAGCAUCGGCUAACUCCGUGCCAGCAGCCGCGGUAAUACGGAGGAUGCGAGCGUUAUCCGGAUUUAUUGGGUUUAAAGGGUGCGCAGGCGGCACGGCAAGCCGGCGGUCAAAUCGCGGGGCUCAACCCCGCCCAGCCGUCGGAACUGCCGGGCUAGAGUGGGCGAGAAGUGCGCGGAAUGCGUGGUGUAGCGGUGAAAUGCAUAGAUAUCACGCAGAACUCCGAUUGCGAAGGCAGCGCACCGGCGCCCUACUGACGCUCAGGCACGAAAGCGUGGGUAUCGAACAGGAUUAGAUACCCUUGUA